CACGUAGGGCGCAAGCGUUGUCCGGAAUUAUUGGGCGUAAAGGGCUCGUAGGCGGUUUGUCGCGUCGGGAGUGAAAACCCAGGGCUUAACCCUGGGCUGGCUUCCGAUACGGGCAGACUAGAGGUAUGCAGGGGAGAACGGAAUUCCUGGUGUAGCGGUGAAAUGCGCAGAUAUCAGGAGGAACACCGGUGGCGAAGGCGGUUCUCUGGGCAUUACCUGACGCUGAGGAGCGAAAGUGUGGGGAGCGAACAGG
Molecule: ribosomal RNA, 253 nt
Filed under: uncultured bacterium
Lineage: Bacteria
Description: partial 16S ribosomal RNA
Rfam family: Bacterial small subunit ribosomal RNA
Source: RNAcentral